Schizosaccharomyces pombe (fission yeast) is the source of this 383-nucleotide non-coding RNA. NCBI's taxonomy places the organism in Eukaryota, Fungi, Ascomycota, Schizosaccharomycetes, Schizosaccharomycetales, Schizosaccharomycetaceae. The record is from the annotation of a GenBank genome assembly.
CGCCGAAACUGCUGCUAAUUUGCAACCAUGUUGAAAAGGGCAAAAUGAUAUGUCUAAUACGGCGCUACGAGCAUCCAUUAAUUUUGCAACUUCAACCCAUGUCUUGGAUUCAAAGUUCUUUUUUUGUUCCUCAUAGAUCCGAACCCCUCUGUCUAAACUGCAGACAGCUAGCACUUGACCAAAUGAAGGAUGAGCCCAAGCAACCCUCAUUAGACUAGCAUCUCCUGCCCUCCAUUCAGAAGUGAUUGCCCAUGUUUCAGUAUCAUCAUUAAAAUCGUAAACCUUGACUCGUUGAUCAGCUGAACAUGAUACCAUUCGACGGCCAUAAAAGUCUUGACAAUUAGCUACAAAAUCUAAAAUAAUAUUUCCUUACCGUAUGUAAC